GACGAACGCUGGCGGCGUGCUUAACACAUGCAAGUCGAACGGAAAGGCCCUGCUUUUGUGGGGUGCUCGAGUGGCGAACGGGUGAGUAACACGUGAGUAACCUGCCCUUGACUUUGGGAUAACUUCAGGAAACUGGGGCUAAUACCGGAUAGGAGCUCCUGCUGCAUGGUGGGGGUUGGAAAGUUUCGGCGGUUGGGGAUGGACUCGCGGCUUAUCAGCUUGUUGGUGGGGUAGUGGCUUACCAAGGCUUUGACGGGUAGCCGGCCUGAGAGGGUGACCGGCCACAAUGGGACUGAGAUACGGGCCAGACUCCUACGGGAGGCAAAAGGGGGGAAUAUUGCACAAUGGGCGGGAGCCUGAGUCAACAACGCCGGGGGCGGGAAGACGGCCUUUGGGUUGUAAACCGCUUUCGCCUGUGACGAAGCGUUAGUGACGGGAAUUGGUAAAGAAGCACCGGCUAACUUCGUG
RNAcentral lists this ribosomal RNA (468 nucleotides) under uncultured bacterium. RNAcentral's name for it is "partial 16S ribosomal RNA". It matches the Rfam family "Bacterial small subunit ribosomal RNA", at positions 28 to 507 of the family's 1533-position model. The record is from RNAcentral.